UACGAAGGGGGCGAGCGUUGUUCGGAUUUACUGGGCGUAAAGGGCGCGCAGGCGGCUUUGUUUGUCAGGCGUGAAAGCCCCGGGCUUAACCUGGGAACUGCGUUUGAUACGGCAGGGCUAGAGUUCGGGAGAGGAGAGUGGAAUUCCCAGUGUAGAGGUGAAAUUCGUAGGAUAUUCGCAAGAACACCAGUGGCGAAGGCGGUUCUCUGGGCAUGUCCUGACGCUGAGGAGCGAAAGUGUGGGGAGCGAACAGG
This 254-nucleotide ribosomal RNA is filed under the name uncultured bacterium. RNAcentral's name for it is "partial 16S ribosomal RNA". It matches the Rfam family "Bacterial small subunit ribosomal RNA", at positions 524 to 776 of the family's 1533-position model. The record is from RNAcentral.